UGUGAGCUCGAUGAGUAGGGCGGGACACGUGGUAUCCUGUCUGAAUAUGGGGGGACCAUCCUCCAAGGCUAAAUACUCCUGACUGACCGAUAGUGAACCAGUACCGUGAGGGAAAGGCGAAAAGAACCCCGGCGAGGGGAGUGAAAAAGAACCUGAAACCGUGUACGUACAAGCAGUGGGAGCCUCUUUUAUGGGGUGACUGCGUACCUUUUGUAUAAUGGGUCAGCGACUUAUAUUCUGUAGCAAGGUUAACCGAAUAGGGGAGCCGAAGGGAAACCGAGUCUUAACUGGGCGUUAAGUUGCAGGGUAUAGACCCGAAACCCGGUGAUCUAGCCAUGGGCAGGUUGAAGGUUGGGUAACACUAACUGGAGGACCGAACCGACUAAUGUUGAAAAAUUAGCGGAUGACUUGUGGCUGGGGGUGAAAGGCCAAUCAAACCGGGAGAUAGCUGGUUCUCCCCGAAAGCUAUUUAGGUAGCGCCUCGUGAAUUCAUCUCCGGGGGUAGAGCACUGUUUCGGCAAGGGGGUCAUCCCGACUUACCAACCCGAUGCAAACUGCGAAUACCGGAGAAUGUUAUCACGGGAGACACACGGCGGGUGCUAACGUCCGUCGUGAAGAGGGAAACAACCCAGACCGCCAGCUAAGGUCCCAAAGUCAUGGUUAAGUGGGAAACGAUGUGGGAAGGCCCAGACAGCCAGGAUGUUGGCUUAGAAGCAGCCAUCAUUUAAAGAAAGCGUAAUAGCUCACUGGUCGAGUCGGCCUGCGCGGAAGAUGUAACGGGGCUAAACCAUGCACCGAAGCUGCGGCAGCGACACUAUGUGUUGUUGGGUAGGGGAGCGUUCUGUAAGCCUGUGAAGGUGUACUGUGAGGUAUGCUGGAGGUAUCAGAAGUGCGAAUGCUGACAUAAGUAACGAUAAAGCGGGUGAAAAGCCCGCUCGCCGGAAGACCAAGGGUUCCUGUCCAACGUUAAUCGGGGCAGGGUGAGUCGACCCCUAAGGCGAGGCCGAAAGGCGUAGUCGAUGGGAAACAGGUUAAUAUUCCUGUACUUGGUGUUACUGCGAAGGGGGGACGGAGAAGGCUAUGUUGGCCGGGCGACGGUUGUCCCGGUUUAAGCGUGUAGGCUGGUUUUCCAGGCAAAUCCGGAAAAUCAAGGCUGAGGCGUGAUGACGAGGCACUACGGUGCUGAAGCAACAAAUGCCCUGCUUCCAGGAAAAGCCUCUAAGCAUCAGGUAACAUCAAAUCGUACCCCAAACCGACACAGGUGGUCAGGUAGAGAAUACCAAGGCGCUUGAGAGAACUCGGGUGAAGGAACUAGGCAAAAUGGUGCCGUAACUUCGGGAGAAGGCACGCUGAUAUGUAGGUGAAGCGACUUGCUCGUGGAGCUGAAAUCAGUCGAAGAUACCAGCUGGCUGCAACUGUUUAUUAAAAACACAGCACUGUGCAAACACGAAAGUGGACGUAUACGGUGUGACGCCUGCCCGGUGCCGGAAGGUUAAUUGAUGGGGUCAGCGCAAGCGAAGCUCUUGAUCGAAGCCCCGGUAAACGGCGGCCGUAACUAUAACGGUCCUAAGGUAGCGAAAUUCCUUGUCGGGUAAGUUCCGACCUGCACGAAUGGCGUAAUGAUGGCCAGGCUGUCUCCACCCGAGACUCAGUGAAAUUGAACUCGCUGUGAAGAUGCAGUGUACCCGCGGCAAGACGGAAAGACCCCGUGAACCUUUACUAUAGCUUGACACUGAACAUUGAGCCUUGAUGUGUAGGAUAGGUGGGAGGCUUAGAAGUGUGGACGCCAGUCUGCAUGGAGCCGACCUUGAAAUACCACCCUUUAAUGUUUGAUGUUCUAACGUUGACCCGUGAUCCGGGUUGCGGACAGUGUCUGGUGGGUAGUUUGACUGGGGCGGUCUCCUCCUAAAGAGUAACGGAGGAGCACGAAGGUUGGCUAAUCCUGGUCGGACAUCAGGAGGUUAGUGCAAUGGCAUAAGCCAGCUUGACUGCGAGCGUGACGGCGCGAGCAGGUGCGAAAGCAGGUCAUAGUGAUCCGGUGGUUCUGAAUGGAAGGGCCAUCGCUCAACGGAUAAAAGGUACUCCGGGGAUAACAGGCUGAUACCGCCCAAGAGUUCAUAUCGACGGCGGUGUUUGGCACCUCGAUGUCGGCUCAUCACAUCCUGGGGCUGAAGUAGGUCCCAAGGGUAUGGCUGUUCGCCAUUUAAAGUGGUACGCGAGCUGGGUUUAGAACGUCGUGAGACAGUUCGGUCCCUAUCUGCCGUGGGCGCUGGAGAACUGAGGGGGGCUGCUCCUAGUACGAGAGGACCGGAGUGGACGCAUCACUGGUGUUCGGGUUGUCAUGCCAAUGGCACUGCCCGGUAGCUAAAUGCGGAAGAGAUAAGUGCUGAAAGCAUCUAAGCACGAAACUUGCCCCGAGAUGAGUUCU
Molecule: ribosomal RNA, 2428 nt
Filed under: Escherichia coli
Lineage: Bacteria; Pseudomonadati; Pseudomonadota; Gammaproteobacteria; Enterobacterales; Enterobacteriaceae
Description: bacterial LSU rRNA
Rfam family: Bacterial large subunit ribosomal RNA
Source: RNAcentral